Molecule: ribosomal RNA, 253 nt
Filed under: uncultured bacterium
Lineage: Bacteria
Description: partial 16S ribosomal RNA
Rfam family: Bacterial small subunit ribosomal RNA
Source: RNAcentral
UACGAAGGGUGCAAGCGUUAUUCGGAAUCAUUGGGCGUAAAGCGCGCGCAGGCGGAUUGAUAAGUCAGGUGUGAAAUCUCGAGGCUCAACCUCGAAACUGCGCCUGAAACUAUUAGUCUAGAAUUUCGGAGGGGGUAGGGGAAUUUCACGUGUAGGGGUAAAAUCCGUAGAGAUGUGAAGGAACACCUGAGGCGAAGGCGGCUUGCUGGGCCUGGUCUGACGCUGAGGCGCGAAAGCGUGGGGAGCAAACAGG